This 468-nucleotide ribosomal RNA is filed under the name uncultured bacterium. Its description in RNAcentral is "partial 16S ribosomal RNA". It matches the Rfam family "Bacterial small subunit ribosomal RNA", at positions 28 to 507 of the family's 1533-position model. The record is from RNAcentral.
GACGAACGCUGGCGGCGUGCUUAACACAUGCAAGUCGAACGGAAAGGCCCUGCUUUUGUGGGGUGCUCGAGUGGCGAACGGGUGAGUAACACGUGAGUAACCUGCCCUUGACUUUGGGAUAACUUCAGGAAACUGGGGCUAAUACCGGAUAGGAGCUCCUGCUGCAUGGUGGGGGUUGGAAAGUUUCGGCGGGUGGGGAUGGACUCGCGGCUUAUCAGCUUGUUGGUGGGGUAGUGGCAUACCAAGGCUUUGACGGGUAGCCGGCCUGAGAGGGUGACCGGCCACAUUGGGACUGAGAUACGGCCCAGACUCCUACGGGAGGCAGCAGUGGGGAAUAUUGCACAAUGGGCGGAAGCCUGAUGCAGCAACGCCGCGUGCGGGAUGACGGCCUUCGGGUUGUAAACCGCUUUCGCCUGUGACGAAGCGGGAGUGACGGUAAUGGGUAAAGAAGCACCGGCUAACUACGUG